Long non-coding RNA from Lathyrus oleraceus (garden pea), 723 nucleotides. RefSeq lists it as uncharacterized. The transcript has 2 exons. The record is from RefSeq and is a predicted model, not a curated record. NCBI's taxonomy places the organism in Eukaryota, Viridiplantae, Streptophyta, Magnoliopsida, Fabales, Fabaceae.
GAUUCUUCUUUUUACGUCUGGUAUUCAGACUGCCCACUCUAUCUUUCCUCUCUCCCUCACGUUUCCUCUUAGACACACCCACACACUACACUCUCUCACACGUUACUCUGACAGGAUAAAGAAAGAAACAAAAACAAGAAAUAAAGGGACACGCCUCUUCUUCUUAAAAAAAGAUCACUCUCACUCACCUCACUACCACUCACUCUCUCUGUGAAAAGAAAAAAGGAAAAGAAAAAAGGAAAAGAAAAGAACUUCUCCUUCCUCAUAAACCAUCACCGGCGACAAUCCACGCCGCAAAACCAACUCGCCGCCAAAUCGCCGAUCGCACCCGUUGUCUACACCCUUAUUCCUCCGCCGUUCCGUUUUCGACAAACACAAACAACCCCAACUUUCACCAUUAAGCAAUCUCCGGCCACCAUUUUCAACUGUCGGCACCAUCUAUACAAUUGUGAUACACAAAAACUUCCGCCGAAACCGAACACAACAACAACACGCUCACAACGACACGACCAUCGACCAUUCUACCGCCACCAUAACGUCGCCGAGCAAGCCGAAACUUGACAUUCCUAUCAGAGUUUUGGUAUGAUCUAUAGCACACAAGAGCCUCACUGUUGCACUAUUUGAACAACAUCUUUUUCGGGUGGUUGGUGUUACAAAGGGAGAAUCCCUUAUAUUCAUUGGAAAAUACACGUUAUCAUGAACCUGUUAACUUUAUUAUUGUUA